Molecule: ribosomal RNA, 274 nt
Filed under: uncultured bacterium
Lineage: Bacteria
Description: partial 16S ribosomal RNA
Rfam family: Bacterial small subunit ribosomal RNA
Source: RNAcentral
AUACGGAGGGUGCAAGCGUUACUCGGAAUCACUGGGCGUAAAGCGCGCGCAGGCGGCUAUUUAAGUUGGAUGUGAAAGCCUAUGGCUCAACCAUAGAACUGCAUCCAAAACUAUUUAGCUAGAGUGUGGGAGAGGAAGAUGGAAUUAGUUGUGUAGGGGUAAAAUCCGUAGAGAUAACUAGGAAUACCAAAAGCGAAGGCAAUCUUCUGGAACACUUCUGACGCUGAGGCGCGAAAGCGUGGGGAGCAAACAGGAUUAGAAACCCUAGUAGUCC